CCGGUGGCCAGCAAGGUUUCGGUGCGGGCCUUUUCCGCCGGGGUGAGCAGCAGAUCACGCAGUUGCAUUGGGUGUUCGACCCGCACGCAACCGGA
Molecule: transfer RNA, 95 nt
Filed under: compost metagenome
Description: tRNA-Arg
Source: RNAcentral